Molecule: long non-coding RNA, 540 nt
Organism: Arabidopsis thaliana (thale cress)
Lineage: Eukaryota; Viridiplantae; Streptophyta; Magnoliopsida; Brassicales; Brassicaceae
Product: other RNA
Exons: 1
Source: RefSeq
GAACUCCUUUUUUCAUCUUCUCAAGAAGUUCAAGCGAAACUCCAUGGUUGAUCACCUGGAAGAAACCCCACUUCGCUGCUGCUUCUUUAAUCUCUUCAAUCGCGUUAUUGCGCUUAAUCGCGUCCUGGAAGUCCCGUCCUCCGAGAUCGAUCGUUGGGAUCGUCUUGAGAUGUAGCAGGUCCGAGGGAAGUGGUUUUGGGGUUGAUAAUUUGACAGUUGGAUGAUGAAAGAUGCGUGGAACUUGUGAAACUCCGGAGUCGACGAGUCCUUUCACACCCGUUUUCGUUUCAUCGAAAGCUUUAAGCUCACUGGCACGAUCGAAUAAAGGAUCAAUCUUCAUCAUCUCCAUCGUUUUUGUUUCUCAAAUCAAAAACAGAACAACAAUCACACAUAAAACAAGAAUGAAACGUUUUUCUUAAGUUCAAAGAUUGGACCAGUUGCUACAGCAAAACCAUUGUCCAUUGAUAAGAGAUAAGGUUUAUUGACAAAAACAACCACGUAUGACGGUAACCGGACCAGGCAAGUCUAAGUCAACAAGAA